This 192-nucleotide ribosomal RNA is filed under the name uncultured bacterium. RNAcentral's name for it is "partial 16S ribosomal RNA". It matches the Rfam family "Bacterial small subunit ribosomal RNA", at positions 1311 to 1500 of the family's 1533-position model. The record is from RNAcentral.
CUCGCCUACAUGAAGUUGGAACCGCUAGUAAUCGCGAAUCAGAAUGUCGCGGUGAAUACGUUCCCGGGUCUUGUACACACCGCCCGUCACACCACGAGAGUUUACAACACCCGAAGUCAGUGGCCUAACCGCAAGGAGGGAGCUGGCCUAAGGGUGGGGUAGAUGAUUGGGGUGAAGUCGUAACAAGGUAGC